Molecule: long non-coding RNA, 584 nt
Organism: Lolium rigidum
Lineage: Eukaryota; Viridiplantae; Streptophyta; Magnoliopsida; Poales; Poaceae
Exons: 3
Source: RefSeq, a predicted model, not a curated record
CGCUGGUAGCCAGCCGCACCAGUGCCUGCCUCGCCGACGCCGCACGACCUGGCCGGUACCCAGGAGUCGUGAACUUGAUGGUGAACUGCCAGUCGACAGCUGAGUUCGAGGCUGCGAGCGUUUCUGCGAUAUUGAGACAUCAAGAUGUGAACCCCUAGCUACAAAUGGGAAUGAAUCUGAGAUUGAAGCGGAGAUACAUUCUUUGCUGAUACUCUAUCCAUCCGUGUUUCUUUCCACGCUGAUGCUCUCAGAUCCGAUCCUUCCAAUGAAGAAAUGACAUCUUCAUGAGGAUGAGCAGACUUGCUAUUUGAUUUCUGGAUGACCGUGAGACUGAGACUUAUGCAUUGCAAUGCAUUGGAGUGUGAGCUGUUGUAAGAGUUAAUGUUUGCUUAUUUGCUUUAAAUUGUAAACGAUUACCUGUGAGAUGUUGGCAUUCUCUGCUGCUACCGUAAGGUGUUGUGCACUUGUGCUAGUGCUGCCAUUAUACUGGUAUUGCCAUGUAGCGCUGCCAAUUGAGCUUGUUUAUUUUUGUGCUGCAGAUUGUAAAGUAAAAUGCCUGAAAUGAUCACUGUGUUGUGCUUCCA